AGAGGCCGCAGUAGAGCAGCCGCUUGGCCUUCUCCUCCUCCGCGUCCCCCGCCGCCGUCACCCUUGUCACCGUUGUCCCCGCCGCCUCCCCGGGGCCGGGUGACGCCGCCACCACCGCUGCCACCGCUGCCACCACGGGGGGCUUCUCGGGUGGCCGCUCGCCUGCGAGGCACCAGUGGCUCAGCGGGGAAACUGAGGCAGGGCAGGGGACGCCGCGGUGGCAGGGGACACGGGGGACACCCCAGGGUGACCCAGGACCCCCCCCAUCUGCUUGGGCUCGUCCCCCCCCCGAGCAUCAUGGGGACACGUGGGGACGCAGGGGACACCCCAGGGUGCCCCAGGACCCACUUGCGCAGUGGAGCUCAAGGUCACCAAGUGACACACGGGGACACGUGGGGACACCUGGGGGUGUCAGGACCCACCUGGGUGGGGGGGACUCGCCGUCCCCAGGGCGAUGUGGGGACACGUGGGGACACAGGGGACACCCAGGGUGCCCCAGGACCCACUUGCGCAGUGGAGCUCAAGGUCACCAAGUGACACACGGGGACACGUGGGGACACCUGGGGGUGCUGGGACCCACCUGGUUGGGGUCCCUCGGUGUCCCCGCGGUGGCACAGGGACACGUGGGGACGCAGGGGACACCGGGACCCACCUGGUCGGGGUCCCUGGCUGUCGCCGUCGGUGGUGGCGGCGGCGGUGGCGGGCGCCGGUGUCCCCGGGGCAGGUGCCUUGUCACCCUCCCUGCGGUGGCCCCGGGCGGCCUCCAGCCCCUUGAGGCGCCGCGCGUGCCGGUUGCCCUGGUAGUGCGCCGUCGCCUGGCUCUGCGACACCCGGCGCACGGUGACACCCGUCACCUGGGGAUGCCAACACCCUGGGGACACCCAGCACCCAGGGACCCCAACACCCUGGGGACACCCCUACACCCCGAGACACCCCAACACCCUGGGGACACUUGGCACCUGGGAACACCCGGCACCCGGGGACCCCAACACCCUGGGACACCCCUACACCCUGGGGACACCCAGCACCCGGGGAC
RNAcentral lists this long non-coding RNA (1036 nucleotides) under Apteryx haastii (Great spotted kiwi). RNAcentral's name for it is "lncRNA (ENSAHAG00000012499.1)". The record is from RNAcentral. Lineage: Eukaryota; Metazoa; Chordata; Aves; Apterygiformes; Apterygidae.